RNAcentral lists this unclassified non-coding RNA (291 nucleotides) under Hevea brasiliensis (rubber tree). Lineage: Eukaryota; Viridiplantae; Streptophyta; Magnoliopsida; Malpighiales; Euphorbiaceae. The record is from RNAcentral.
GACCUCUGCAGCUAAUGACCGGCGGCGAAUAAUUUGUACUCUCCGACGUCGUCGUCCGGCAGAUUCGUUUACACUGCUUUCAUCUUUCUUCCCUUCCUUCCUUGAGGAGUGGGAAACUCUAAGUUGAAAGAAACGAACCCUUCAGAAUCUAAACCUGAAUACGUUCACGUCAAUUUCUUCUAUAUAAGAACAACAACAAGAAGAAGAACCGCAUUCAAUUCCACCAAUUUCUCCGAUCUACUCAAUGUUCAACUCCGGCAAUAACAGUCCCAAUGGAAUCCCUAGCUCCGG